ACAAAUAAGCUCGGAGACAUCUGCACGUGCAACUGGAAGAGUUCUCUUUUCUUCUUAACAGUCUAUCUCCCUGAAUGGAUUGUCCAGAGCUAGGGAUAUAUGGCUGGCAGAGCAGUUCACCCUCGAACUGUCAGUGAUGCUCGUGACGAUCCUUGAAAAUCCGAGUAAGAUUAUCCAAUCACACCAGGUCGUACCCAUAACCGCAUCAGGUCUCCAAGGUUAGCAGCCUCUGGUCGAUAAGAUAAUGUAAAUAAGGGAAUUCGGCAAAUUAGAUCCGUAACUUCGGGAAAAGGAUUGGCUCUGAGGAUUGAGUGCCAUGCCAAUUUUACAGAACCUGGAUCUAAUCGAGUAUUUCCGCAAGGAGGCACUCUUUCGGAGAAAGGAGAAGUUUCUGCGGCUAACACAAUUAACAAUCGACUCAGAACUGAAGCGGACAAGGGGAAUCCGACUGUUUAAUAAAAACAUAGCUUUGUGAUGGCCUGAAAAGGUGUUGACACAAAGUGAUUUCUGCCCAGUGCUUUGAAUGUGAAUAUGAAGUAAUUUGUAGAAGCUCAGGUAAACGGCGGGAGUAACUAUGACUCUCUUAAGGUAGCCAAAUGCCUCGUCAUCUAAUUAGC
This 617-nucleotide ribosomal RNA is filed under the name Bdellovibrionales bacterium. Its description in RNAcentral is "partial 23S ribosomal RNA". It matches the Rfam family "Eukaryotic large subunit ribosomal RNA", at positions 1649 to 2307 of the family's 3401-position model. Lineage: Bacteria; Pseudomonadati; Bdellovibrionota; Bdellovibrionia; Bdellovibrionales. The record is from RNAcentral.